GGCUCGGCACUACGCAGCGAAUCCACUUCGAACCGGGUCAGGCCGGGAACGGAGCAGCCCUAAGGAGCGUGAUUCGGGUGCCGUAGAUGUCCGGGCCUCC
This 100-nucleotide signal recognition particle RNA is filed under the name Planctomycetota bacterium. RNAcentral's name for it is "Planctomycetes bacterium signal recognition particle sRNA small type". It matches the Rfam family "Bacterial small signal recognition particle RNA". From Rfam's summary of the family: The signal recognition particle (SRP) is a universally conserved ribonucleoprotein involved in the co-translational targeting of proteins to membranes. Archaeal SRP consists of a 7S RNA and homologues of the eukaryotic SRP19 and SRP54 proteins. The record is from RNAcentral. Lineage: Bacteria; Pseudomonadati; Planctomycetota.